This is a long non-coding RNA of Anguilla anguilla (European eel), 1000 nucleotides long. RefSeq lists it as uncharacterized. The transcript is spliced from 3 exons. Lineage: Eukaryota; Metazoa; Chordata; Actinopteri; Anguilliformes; Anguillidae. The record is from RefSeq and is a predicted model, not a curated record.
CUGCCGUUGCUUCCUUGAGCAAGGUACUUAUCCUGCACUGCUUCAGUAUAUGUCCAGCUGUAUAAAUGGAUGGUCUGGUGCAGAGGUUCCCGUGCAUGUUGAUCCCUCUGGUGUGUAGCGCGGGGCUAUGUUUGGGUGCUGGUACAGAGGUGUAGUGCAGGGCUAUGUUUGGGUGCUGGUACAGAGGUGUAGUGCAGGGCUAUGUUUGGGUGCUGGUACAGAGGUGUAGUGCAGGGCUAUGUUUGGGUGCUGGUACAGAGGUGUAGUGCAGGGCUAUGUUUGGGUGCUGGUACAGAGGUGUAGUGCAGGGCUAUGUUUGGGUGCUGGUACAGAGGUGUAGUGCAGGGCUAUGUUUGGGUGCUGGUACAGAGGUGUAGUGCAGGGCUAUGUUUGGGUGCUGGUACAGAGGUGUAGUGCAGGGCUAUGUUUGGGUGCUGGUACAGAGGUGUAGUGCAGGGCUAUGUUUGGGUGCUGGUACAGAGGUGUAGUGCAGGGCUAUGUUUGGGUGCUGGUACAGAGGUGUAGUGCAGGGCUAUGUUUGGGUGCUGGUACAGAGGUGUAGUGCAGGGCUAUGUUUGGGUGCUGGUACAGAGGUGUAGUGCAGGGCUAUGUUUGGGUGCUGGUACAGAGGUGUAGCGCGGGGCUAUGUUUGGGUGCUGGUACAGAGGUGUAGUGCAGGGCUAUGUUUGGGUGCUGGUACAGAGGUGUAGUGCAGGGCUAUGUUUGGGUGCUGGUACAGAGGUGUAGCGCGGGGCUAUGUUUGGGUGCUGGUACAGAGGUGUAGUGCAGGGCUAUGUUUGGGUGCUGGUACAGAGGUGUAGUGCAGGGCUAUGUUUGGGUGCUGGUACAGAGGUGUAGUGCAGGGCUAUGUUUGGGUGCUGGUACAGAGGUGUAGUGCAGGGCUAUGUUUGGGUGCUGGUACAGAGGUGUAGUGCAGGGCUAUGUUUGGGUGCUGGUACAGAGGUUCCCAUGCGUGUUGAUCCCUCUGGUGCGUAGCGCG